Mustela erminea (ermine) is the source of this 1587-nucleotide long non-coding RNA. RefSeq lists it as uncharacterized. The transcript is spliced from 4 exons. Lineage: Eukaryota; Metazoa; Chordata; Mammalia; Carnivora; Mustelidae. The record is from RefSeq and is a predicted model, not a curated record.
GUCAGAACCUGAGAGAUGGCAUUGGGAGGAAGACUCUCCCGGCUUUGAAGGUGGAAGGGAGCUAUGACCUAAGGAAUGUGGGUGACUUUGAAGGUAGAAAACGCUAGACUUGGAUUCUCCCCGAGAGCCCCUGGAAGGGAAUCUAGUCCUGCUGAUUUUAGUCCCGCAGGAACCGUUUCAGACUUCUGAUCUCUAGAACUGUAAGAUAAUAAAUGUGUGUUGUUUUAAAUCAUUAUGUGUGUAGUAAUUAGUUACAGCAGCCAUAGGAAAUUAACACACUGGCCAGAAUAAAGACAUUGAUUGACCUUCUUUGCAUCCAACUGUGGCUACCACUGAGUCCUGGGUGUAGGGGGAGUGGCUUUGUGACAUUUCUUGGGACUCUCAGGCAGCAGGCAGUGCCCUCUCAUCUCCCUCUUCAUCUCUUCCAUCCUGCUCCCUAGACGUGGAGGCCAACUGGACCACCAGGAUGAAGCCAUACCCUACAGAAGGUGGAGGUAUGAGCUGGAAGGAGCAGAGCCACAGAGCAGCCUUGAAAUUUCUACCUUAAUGCUUUGACAUGAGUCAUGUCAUGAGUGAGAAGUCAAUCUUUAUCUUGUUCAAGCCACUGUUAUCAUGGGGGCCUUCAGAAACUCACAGCUGGAGCCAAACCUAACUGUUUUGGAGAGAAAAGGCAUUAACAUUGACCUGUCAACGGAUCGAGUCUCUACAAGAUUGCAGAUAAGACUAAAGGCAAGCAACUGGGAACCAUAAGCUAACGGACGAGCUGUUAAACCUCCUGGAAUAGACUAAAAUCUCCAGAAGGCUACCUCCCUAGCAUCUAUGGCAGUGCCCAGCACAUAGUUGGCAUUCGACAAGUUGUGGACCGAAGGAAGCCUAUCUUAGGUGCAAGGUUAAAACAGCGCAGGGGGAGAGGCAAACCCUGGUAGAUGAGUGAGUCAUCACUACACGAGAAGUUCAGCAUCGCAAGAGAUAAGGAACAACACAGGACAACAAUCGGAGUUCACAGGCAGUGCGUGGGACUGGGACAGGAGAGACGGGAACAGGGAAAGAAUGAAGACUCUCAGAAGAUCCUGAAAUCCCAUUCUGAAUUCCUGACUGCAACCUCGGAAGUGUUUGUGUCUCGGAAAAUCCUAGACCUGUCCCAGCCCUGCGAGAUCCCACGCUGGGACCUCAGAACCUACAGGGGAAGGAAGCUCCGCGCUUCCUGGGCGCCUCUCACCAAGUUUCCUAUCUUCUCCAUCCGUGAGUCCUCUGUCCCCAGCACCUUCAGGCUUGACACCUGCCUUCCACGAGCCAUGCUUGAAACAGACUUUGUAUUUAAAAAUCCCAACCCCAGUGAAACGUGAAGUCCCUUCAAAGUGAGCAAAUAAAAUCCCAAGGAAGUCUCAUUUAGAAAUAGAAACUCUCAUGCCUUUUUUUUUUUUUUUUUUUACCGUGAUUUCUCUUCCACUGGAGAAGUUUCUUUAAAAAAAAAAGAAAAAGAAAAAGAAAAAAGCUCAAGAGGCUAGAUGGCUUGAAACCAAAAUGAGCUACUGAGCCGUCUUCACUAGAAUUCUGCUGGGGACAGCGGCGGCCUAGCAUCUCAGU